CCAGACUCCUACGGGAGGCAGCAGUGAGGAAUAUUGGUCAAUGGGCGCGAGCCUGAGCCAGCCAAGUCGCGUGAGGGAGGACGGCCCUACGGGUUGUAAACCUCUUUUGCCGGGGAGCAACGGGCGUCACGUGUGGCGCCACUGAGAGUACCCGGAGAAAAAGCAUCGGCUAACUCCGUGCCAGCAGCCGCGGUAAUACGGAGGAUGCGAGCGUUAUCCGGAUUUAUUGGGUUUAAAGGGUGCGUAGGCGGAUCGUUAAGUCAGGGGUCAAAUGGGGGGGCUCAACCCCUUCGAGCCGUUGAAACUGGUUUUCUUGAGUGAGCGAGAAGUAUGCGGAAUGCGUGGUGUAGCGGUGAAAUGCAUAGAUAUCACGCAGAACUCCGAUUGCGAAGGCAGCAUACCGGCGCUCAACUGACGCUCAUGCACGAAAGUGUGGGUAUCGAACAGGAUUAGAUACCCUGGUAA
This 465-nucleotide ribosomal RNA is filed under the name uncultured bacterium. RNAcentral's name for it is "bacterial SSU rRNA". It matches the Rfam family "Bacterial small subunit ribosomal RNA", at positions 331 to 793 of the family's 1533-position model. The record is from RNAcentral.